UACUCCUGCCUAAAUACUCUAAAGGCACCCAAUCCCAUCUGAUCUUGGAAGCUAAGUGGGAUCCAUUCUGUUAAUAUUUGGAUGGGAGACCACUCAUGAAUUUUAGGUGCUGAAGACU
RNAcentral lists this ribosomal RNA (118 nucleotides) under Anolis carolinensis (green anole). The record is from RNAcentral. Lineage: Eukaryota; Metazoa; Chordata; Lepidosauria; Squamata; Anolidae.